RNAcentral lists this ribosomal RNA (315 nucleotides) under uncultured eukaryote. Its description in RNAcentral is "SSU rRNA". It matches the Rfam family "Eukaryotic small subunit ribosomal RNA", at positions 1461 to 1785 of the family's 1831-position model. The record is from RNAcentral.
UCUGUGAUGCCCUUAGAUGUUCUGGGCUGCACGCGCGCUACACUGACAAAGGCAGCGAGUAUACCUUGGCCGAGAGGUCUGGGAAAUCUUGUUAAACUUUGUCGUGCUGGGGAUAGAUCAUUGCAAUUAUUGGUCUUGAACGAGGAAUUCCUAGUAAGCGCAAGUCAUCAGCUUGCGUUGAUUACGUCCCUGCCCUUUGUACACACCGCCCGUCGCUACUACCGAUUGAAUGGCUUAGUGAGGCCUUUGGAUUCGUCCUGGUCGCAAGAUCAGGAUGUGAGAAAUUGGACAAACUUGGUCAUUUAGAGGAAGUAA